Molecule: small nuclear RNA, 104 nt
Organism: Raphanus sativus (radish)
Lineage: Eukaryota; Viridiplantae; Streptophyta; Magnoliopsida; Brassicales; Brassicaceae
Source: RefSeq, a predicted model, not a curated record
GUCCCUUUGAGGACAUCCAAUAAAAUUACAACGAUAUAAAAAAGAUUAUCAUGGUCCAUACUUAAGGAUUGACACGUACAAUUCGAAAAACUGUCCAAGUUUUU